GUGAGGGUCAUGAGGCUGUAACAUCUGUCACCCCACUGAUCACCAGCGUUGAUUUGGCUGAUCUGGCUUGCUAGGAGUGUGUCCCCUUCCUCAAAUAGAAUGACUUGUGUCCCAUUGAGGGUAGCUGCACUCCCCUGCUAGAACCUCCAAACACGCUCUCAAGAUCCAGAUACACUUGAGUGAUGAGAUUUUCCUCUUGGAGUCAAAAACACUUCCCUUUUUUUUUUUUAAAGAUAGAGUAUAAAU
RNAcentral lists this small nuclear RNA (246 nucleotides) under Erinaceus europaeus (western European hedgehog). Its description in RNAcentral is "7SK RNA". It matches the Rfam family "7SK RNA". From Rfam's summary of the family: 7SK was discovered as an abundant small nuclear RNA in the mid-70s but a possible function has only recently been suggested. Two independent studies have found that 7SK RNA binds the CDK9/cyclin T complex (known as elongation factor P-TEFb). The record is from Rfam by way of RNAcentral. Lineage: Eukaryota; Metazoa; Chordata; Mammalia; Eulipotyphla; Erinaceidae.